CGGAGGGCUCACCGCCCACCGUGCGCCCCCCGGAGCGGCCCGCCGCACCUACAGCGGAUUGGGAUCGAGGACCAGCGGUAGUGGCUGCAGCCCCCGACUCGGUGGUGAGCGACAGAACCAAGCAUGAGCAAACGCGGUGGAUACAGACCAUUGUGUUAAAGCACUGGAAGCAGCCAAGACGUUGGAUACCAUGUGUCAGAUCCUCAAAAAGUAAGAGUCAAAUUCACCUAGAUAGAAGCUAAACUAGUGGUUGCCUAAGGCUGGGGUGGGGCAGCAUGAGGAGACUGGGGUGA
Molecule: long non-coding RNA, 293 nt
Filed under: Capra hircus (goat)
Lineage: Eukaryota; Metazoa; Chordata; Mammalia; Artiodactyla; Bovidae
Description: lncRNA (ENSCHIG00000001974.1)
Source: RNAcentral